Molecule: transfer RNA, 66 nt
Filed under: Cerambycidae sp. 7 KM-2017
Lineage: Eukaryota; Metazoa; Arthropoda; Insecta; Coleoptera; Cerambycidae
Description: tRNA-Asp
Rfam family: tRNA
About the family: Transfer RNA (tRNA) molecules are approximately 80 nucleotides in length. Their secondary structure includes four short double-helical elements and three loops (D, anti-codon, and T loops).
Source: RNAcentral
AAAAAUUUAGUUAAACUAUAACAUUAGCUUGUCAAGCUAAAAUUAUUAUCUAAGUAAUAAUUUUUA